RNAcentral lists this transfer RNA (72 nucleotides) under Estrilda astrild. Its description in RNAcentral is "tRNA-Glu". Lineage: Eukaryota; Metazoa; Chordata; Aves; Passeriformes; Estrildidae. The record is from RNAcentral.
GUUUCUGUAGUUAAAUGUAUAUAACAGCGGCUUUUCAGGCCGCGGUUCUCAGAGAGAAGCUGAGUAGGAAUA